CAAAAAGAAAGGGCAAACCCUUCUACGCGUGACCCUCCUCCUCCUUAUUAGUUCAACCUCGCGCAGCACUUCCUCAGUGGCAACCCAGCCACCGUUCAAAGUCACAGCCGCCGUCCGAUCCGAGGACAGCAGCCCAGCCGCCGUCCGAUCCGAGGACAGCAACCCAGCCGCCGUUCGAGCCACCGUUCGACCCCAAGACAACAGCCCGUGUGAGUGGAGUCUUCCUCCCUUCUUUCCCUGCGUACAACGGAACCCCGACAACAACACGUCACGGAAUCCAAGAGACUAAAAAAGAAAAGAAAGAGUAUUUCACUAGUUGGUCUGCCAAGACAAGACCCGAAACAUCCUCCACAAUGACUUCCCACUACUCAAGAAGAGACAGGAACAAGUAUGGCUAGUAAGCCACUGAUCAUUGUCAAGGUUCCAAUAGGACUUUCUAUGUUUUUGAAAAUACUUAUAGGUUCUGUGAAGUAUGUAGAACCAGGAUUCAUGAUUUACAUUUCGAUGGAGGUCGAUAUUAUGGUCGAUGCGUAUACCUUAUAUAUCUCACAUGAGGAUAUAGUACACUUUGGACUUAUGGAGGAAAUCGAGACAUUGCAGUCAUCAAAAAUCCGGUCCAAUAUAGAUAAUCGGGCUAAAAUUAUCUCUGGCCGUAUCAUCAACACAUUGAUGGGUCAAACUUGGUUAAUGGAAUACCAUUUCGAACGUCAUUGGAUGUUAGUGAUCAUUGAUCCAGAUAAUCACAUGUGCUACUAUCUCGAUCUACUUAGAAAUUCUCCUCCAAAUGAUCUCACGAACCUUAUGAACAGAGAAAGACAGGCAUGUAUGAAAAAAGUUACAAGUGGAAAAUAUUCAAUUGCCCUUGUUAGACUUCAAUGGUAGAGUGCGACUUUUAUAUCAUAAGGAUGAUGGAGUGUUGCUUGCAUGAGGCACCCAUUUGAUGGCUAAUUACUAAUUGUGGCAGGAAGAACACAUAUAACUGUGAGGAAAUCAAUGAAACUCGAAAUGAAUAGGUAGCUAAGCUCCUUGAGUGGAUGAGCCGAAGCUAGGGUAACUUUUGAAAUCAUAAUUCAAAACAAGCUAAUUAUAUUUAGUACAACACUUACAUAGUUAAGGCAAUGAUACCUACAUAAUUAAGACAAGAAUGUAUUUACAUAGUUAAGGCAAUAAUUAUACAUCUUGAUCUUGUAACUUUAGUUUUAUAAUAUAUUGAAUUCUUUUGAUUUUGUA
Humulus lupulus (European hop) is the source of this 1230-nucleotide RNA transcript. RefSeq lists it as uncharacterized. The record is from RefSeq and is a predicted model, not a curated record. Lineage: Eukaryota; Viridiplantae; Streptophyta; Magnoliopsida; Rosales; Cannabaceae. The transcript has 6 exons.